Molecule: ribosomal RNA, 253 nt
Filed under: uncultured bacterium
Lineage: Bacteria
Description: partial 16S ribosomal RNA
Rfam family: Bacterial small subunit ribosomal RNA
Source: RNAcentral
UACAGAGGAUGCAAGCGUUAUCCGGAAUGAUUGGGCGUAAAGCGUGCGCAGGCGGCGCGUUAAGACAGGUGUGAAAGCCCCGAGCUUAACUUGGGAAUUGCGCUUGUGACUGGCGUGCUGGAGUGUGGCAGAGGGAGGUGGAAUUCCACGUGUAGCAGUGAAAUGCGUAGAGAUGUGGAGGAACACCGAUGGCGAAGGCAGCCUCCUGGGCCAGCACUGACGCUCAUGCACGAAAGCGUGGGGAGCAAACAGG